AGAAUCAACGCUGGCGGCGUGCCUAACACAUGCAAGUCGCACGAGAAAGGGUAGCAAUACCUGAGUAAAGUGGCGCACGGGUGAGUAACACGUGAAUAAUCUACCUCCGAGUGGGGAAUAACUGAGAGAAAUCUUAGCUAAUACCGCAUAACACUUACGAGUCAAAGCAGCAAUGCGCGUUGGAGAGGAGUUCGCGGCCGAUUAGUUAGUUGGCGGGGUAAUGGCCCACCGAAGACGAUGAUCGGUA
RNAcentral lists this ribosomal RNA (247 nucleotides) under uncultured bacterium. RNAcentral describes it as "partial small subunit ribosomal RNA". It matches the Rfam family "Bacterial small subunit ribosomal RNA", at positions 26 to 285 of the family's 1533-position model. The record is from RNAcentral.